Molecule: ribosomal RNA, 893 nt
Filed under: Myelochroa entotheiochroa
Lineage: Eukaryota; Fungi; Ascomycota; Lecanoromycetes; Lecanorales; Parmeliaceae
Description: eukaryotic LSU rRNA
Rfam family: Eukaryotic large subunit ribosomal RNA
Source: RNAcentral
AUACUGGCUGGAGACCGAUAGCGCACAAGUAGAGUGAUCGAAAGAUGAAAAGCACUUUGGAAAGAGAGUCAAAAAGUACGUGAAAUUGUUGAAAGGGAAGCGCUUGCAACCAGACCUGCCCGUAGGCGAUCAGCCGCUGUUCUCAGCGGUGCACUCGCUCUGCGAUCAGGCCAGCAUCGGUUUUGGCGGCUGGAUAAAGGCCUUGGGAAUGUAGCUCCCCUUCGGGGGAGUCUUAUAGCCCUCGGUGCAAUGCGGCCAGCCGAGACCGAGGACCGCGCUUCGGCUAGGAUGCUGGCGUAAUGGUUGUAAGCGACCCGUCUUGAAACACGGACCAAGGAGUCUAACAUCGAUGCGAGUGUUUGGGUGUCAAACCCAUGCGCGAAAUGAAAGUGAACGGAGGUGAGAACCCUUAAGGGCGCAUCAUCGACCGAUCCAGAUGUCUUCGGAUGGAUUUGAGUAUGAGCAUCGCUGUUGGGACCCGAAAGGCAAGCUGCCCAGUAACAUCCUUAUAUAGAACCCAAGCUAACAUUUUGUCCAGAUGGUGAACUAUGCCUGAAUAGGGUGAAGCCAGAGGAAACUCUGGUGGAGGCUCGCAGCGGUUCUGACGUGCAAAUCGAUCGUCAAAUUUGGGUAUAGGGGCGAAAGACUAAUCGAACCAUGUAUAUUUUGGGCUCUAGGUGGUUAAUAAAAGCACCUCGGACUCGCGAGAGCUUUCAGUCCUCCGGGGCAACAUCACUACUUGCAUAGACAGACCUUUAAAGGUUGAUAUGCCGCGGUUCUCCCCUAAAGGGGUUCCGUUCACAGACCAAAUAGUGAUGGCCGGGCGCUCUAUCUUAGGGCAUGCCCGGUUCAGAUAUGGCCGAGUCCCACUCUUAACGGAGUUUGAUCUCGGG